This 774-nucleotide ribosomal RNA is filed under the name uncultured Neocallimastigales. Its description in RNAcentral is "partial large subunit ribosomal RNA". It matches the Rfam family "Eukaryotic large subunit ribosomal RNA", at positions 24 to 628 of the family's 3401-position model. The record is from RNAcentral. Lineage: Eukaryota; Fungi; Neocallimastigomycota; Neocallimastigomycetes; Neocallimastigales.
AUGUGAUCGUCUCUCGCAUAUCAAUAAGCGGAGGAAAAGAAACUAACAAGGAUUCCCCUAGUAACGGCGAGUGAAGCGGGAAGAGCUCAAAUUUGAAAUCUUAAAGGGUUUCCCUUUACGAAUUGUAGUUUAAAGAAGUGUUUUCUGUUGAGGUUUUGGUAAAAGUUCUUUGGAAUAGGACAUCAUAGAGGGUGAGAAUCCCGUAUUUGACCUUUACUUUCAACUUUGUGAUACACUUUCAAAGAGUCGGAUCGUUUGGGAAUGCAGUCCAAAAUGGGUGGUAAAUUUCAUCUAAAGCUAAAUAUUGGCGAGAGACCGAUAGCGAACAAGUACCGUGAGGGAAAGAUGAAAAGAACUUUGAAAAGAGAGUUAAACAGUACGUGAAAUUGUCAGAAGGGAAGCGUUUGACACCAGUGUUGUUUUUCUGAAAAUCAAUUAAAGAACUGUUUAUGCUAAGUUGUUUAGACUUUAUCAGCUAAUCUGCUUAGUUUUGAGCUUUUCUUUAAUGCACUUUUCAGUUAACAAGUCAACAUCAAUUUCUUUUGCUGUGAAAAAGCUUGAGGAAGGUGGCUUGAGAUUCGUCUUAAGUGUUUAUAGCCUCUUGCCUAUGCAGUCGGAGAGAUUGAGGUCUGCAGCGUAGAUCCUUCGGGGCUAAAUGCAUUUGUGCUAAGUUAUAACAUUUUAUAGACAACUUGUUGACUAUGAUUUGUCUUGUAGCUUACUCGCUUAUGUUAUUUUACCUACGCUUAGGAUGUUGAGUCGUAGAGCACGCAG